Manis javanica (Malayan pangolin) is the source of this 366-nucleotide non-coding RNA. The record is from RefSeq and is a predicted model, not a curated record. NCBI's taxonomy places the organism in Eukaryota, Metazoa, Chordata, Mammalia, Pholidota, Manidae.
AUUUAACCAAGGUUGUGCCUCUAAGAAGUGAAAGACACAAGAUUUGGACUCAGGUUGUUGGAUUCCAGAGUCCAUGCUUUUAAUGAUUACUUUGAAGAACAUACCGUUCCAAGGAUUAUAAGGACACAGAGUGGGGAAUCUGGAAUUGUGCUGGAAGGCUCAGAAUUCAUGAACAGAUACAGAAAGAACAUGAAGCUGGGAGUGGACCAUGAAGUUAAGCUGUUUAGCUGCUGGAAUCACUUCCUCUCGCGGUCCCUGAACUGAAGAAGUGGACCGAUCAGCAGGGGCGGGGUGAACAGAUGCAGCUGGAGAGGAAGAGAGGCUUGGGGGAGUCACAUCUGAGCUGCCGUGGGGGAUGAGCUGUGA